UACGUAGGGUGCGAGCGUUGCCCGGAUUCAUUGGGCGUAAAGCGCGCGCAGGCGGCUCCGCACGUCCCGCGUGAAAUCGCCCGGCUCAACCGGGCGGGGUCGCGGGCGACGGCGGGGCUCGAGCGAGGGAGGGGGCAGUGGAAUUCCCGGUGUAGUGGUGGAAUGCGUAGAUAUCGGGAGGAACACCUGUGGCGAAAGCGGCGCACUGGACCAUAACUGACGCUGAUGCGCGAAAGCUAGGGGAGCAAACAGG
Molecule: ribosomal RNA, 253 nt
Filed under: uncultured bacterium
Lineage: Bacteria
Description: partial 16S ribosomal RNA
Rfam family: Bacterial small subunit ribosomal RNA
Source: RNAcentral